UUGACCUCAAAUCAGGUGGGACUACCCGCUGAACUUAAGCAUAUCAAUAAGCGGAGGAAAAGAAACUAACAAGGAUUCCCCUAGUAACUGCGAGUGAAGCGGGAAAAGCUCAAAUUUAAAAUCUGGCGGCUUCGUCGUCCGAGUUGUAAUUUAGAGAAGCGUUUUCCGCGCCGGACCGUGUACAAGUCUCCUGGAACGGAGCGUCAUAGAGGGUGAGAAUCCCGUCUUUGACACGGACCCCGGUGCUCUGUGAUACGCUCUCGAAGAGUCGAGUUGUUUGGGAAUGCAGCUCAAAAUGGGUGGUGAACUCCAUCUAAAGCUAAAUAUUGGCGAGAGACCGAUAGCGAACAAGUACCGUGAGGGAAAGAUGAAAAGCACUUUGGAAAGAGAGUGAAACAGUACGUGAAAUUGCUGAAAGGGAAACGCUUGAAGUCAGUCGCGUCCGCCGGGAUUCAGCCGCAUGGUGUACUUUCCGGUGGACGGGCCAGCAUCACUUUUGACCGCCGGAAAAGGGCGGAGGGAAUGUGGCACCUUCGGGUGUGUUAUAGCCCUUCGUCGUAUACGGUGGUCGGGAGUGAGGACCGCCUUUGUAGGAUGCUGGCGUAAUGGCUUUAAACGACCCGUCUUGAAACACGGACCAAGGAGUCUAACAUGCCCGCGAGUGUUCGGGUGGAAAACCCGUGCGCGUAAUGAAAGUGAAAGUUGGGAAGGCUGUCGUGGCCCGCACCGACGCCCGGACCUGAGAUUUAUCGACGGUUCUGCGGUAGAGCGUGUAUGUUGGGACCCGAAAGAUGGUGAACUAUGCCUGAAUAGGGUGAAGCCAGAGGAAACUCUGGUGGAGGCUCGUAGCGAUUCUGACGUGCAAAUCGAUCGUCAAAUUUGGGUAUAGGGG
This 892-nucleotide ribosomal RNA is filed under the name Vararia callichroa. Its description in RNAcentral is "LSU rRNA". It matches the Rfam family "Eukaryotic large subunit ribosomal RNA", at positions 1 to 923 of the family's 3401-position model. Lineage: Eukaryota; Fungi; Basidiomycota; Agaricomycetes; Russulales; Lachnocladiaceae. The record is from RNAcentral.